Molecule: ribosomal RNA, 253 nt
Filed under: uncultured bacterium
Lineage: Bacteria
Description: partial 16S ribosomal RNA
Rfam family: Bacterial small subunit ribosomal RNA
Source: RNAcentral
UACGAAGGGGGCUAGCGUUGCUCGGAAUCACUGGGCGUAAGGCGCACGUAGGCGGAUUGCUAAGUCAGGGGUGAAAUCCUGGAGCUCAACUCCAGAACUGCCUUUGAUACUGGCGAUCUUGAGUCCGGGAGAGGUGAGUGGAACUGCGAGUGUAGAGGUGAAAUUCGUAGAUAUUCGCAAGAACACCAGUGGCGAAGGCGGCUCACUGGCCCGGUACUGACGCUGAGGUGCGAAAGCGUGGGGAGCAAACAGG